UGUGGGAGCGAGCUUGCUCGCGAUGCUGGCGGCGCGGUUUUUCUGAUUCACCGUGUCGAUCCCAUCGCGAGCAAGCCCGCUCCCACA
RNAcentral lists this unclassified non-coding RNA (87 nucleotides) under Pseudomonas psychrophila. The record is from RNAcentral. Lineage: Bacteria; Pseudomonadati; Pseudomonadota; Gammaproteobacteria; Pseudomonadales; Pseudomonadaceae.